This 327-nucleotide ribosomal RNA is filed under the name uncultured eukaryote. Its description in RNAcentral is "partial 18S ribosomal RNA". It matches the Rfam family "Eukaryotic small subunit ribosomal RNA", at positions 1470 to 1796 of the family's 1831-position model. The record is from RNAcentral.
CCCUUAGAUGUUCUGGGCCGCACGCGCGCUACACUGAUUCAUGCAACAAGUUUUGUCCUUGGCUGAUAGGCCUGGGUAAUCUUUGAACGUGAAUCGUGGUGGGGAUAGAUGAUUGCAAUUAUUCAUCUUCAACGAGGAAUUCCUAGUAAACGCAAGUCAUCAGCUUGCAUUGAUUACGUCCCUGCCCUUUGUACACACCGCCCGUCGCACCUACCGAUUGAAUGGUCCGGUGAAAUCUUCGGAUCUGAGAGAUGUCUGAUUAAUUUCGGACGCCUUUUGGAAAAGUUGUUUAAACCUUACCAUUUAGAGGAAGGUGAAGUCGUAACA